AGUCUUUCUCUCCUUAUCCCCCGAGCAUUUCGGUCCCUCGUGAUUCGACUUCUCUUUCUGUAGUUUUAGUAUAGUAAGGUGAGCGCUGAAGCGCUGCACGAAUCUUUCUUAGAAAGAUUCAGCGACGAAGUUCUGCCCCUACAGAGCCCGACUCCUAGCUAAAAUCCCCUUGUUUCGUCGAAGGAAAUUAUUUUAAAGUAAACGAAGCGUUGUCCGAGUACCGAGUCACCACCUUCUCAAGUGUUGAUAUGAAGUGACAUUACACUGAGAGAUUUAAAGAGAUGUAGAUCACUAGUGUAAAUAAUUGUAAGUUCUGUUUAUGCUUAUGUUUCUGUAUUAACGAUGACAUCCCAAACGUUUAAAAAUGAAAUAAAUACGUUUCUUCGAAAAUGUUUUAAUAACGUAUUUACCAUGUUUUUCUGGGAACAAAUUCCGCAACAUUUUUAUAAAAUGAAGUACUCUGAUUUUUAUAAAGCAUAAACAACAUCGGUCUUUUCUGGCCGUGAAAAUGGGGAUGUCACAAUUUGGUUCAUGAUUAUUUGCAAUGUUAUUCCAAAUAGAUUUGAAUUUUAUUUGUUUAGAUUAGGGUUUUUCAAUUUUAGGUAUUUGGGUGCGAAAUUAUUUUGGGUGCGAAACUAAUAUUUUUUUCCUUUGGUUAUUUUCAUUUUUUUCCUUAUGCCCUAGCUUUGGUUUAAAUAACCACAAACCCUUAAAACAAAAUUGGAAAAGAUGUACGGAUGUCGAUAGUACGUGACACACUCAUUGUAGGGCAUCGUCCUCUGUGAUUGAUGUCAACGAAACCCUAACUUGCCCCAUAAGUUCGCUUACUUGUCAUGCAAGAAACAAAUCUGAUGUAUUUCGAAUUUUAGAUAUUCCCUUUAGAUUUAAAUGUCAUUUAAAUAGUGGUUUAAAUUUGAACAUUAAUUUGUUUUAAAUAUUAUUUAUAGUUUUCUAACGUCCUAAAAAUACUAAGAAAAUUUUCAUUUUUAAUUAAACCAAACCGAUAAACCAUUUGUCCUAAAAGAUAGUAAUAACAAUAAUAUUCUCAAAACAUCAUAGUAAAACAAGUCAGUGCAGAAAAUAAAAUUGUGGAGGAUGUAGUGUGAUCAAGUCGGGCUGCCAAAACCAUAAGUACCUGAAAAACAUUUUAAACAUAAACAAUAAGCACAAAGCUUACUGAGUUCCCCCAAAAUACCAUACACCAUCCAUAUCAAACAUACAAUAGGCCAUGCCAGAUAGCCAUCGGGCCCCGCCCGACAUCGAGCCCCAUUCAGAACAGAUAUGUUUGUAUCUUGUGAUGGGCCCUGCCAUCACACCCAUCAGGUCCCGUCCGACAUACAUAGAAUACAUAUACAUGUGCUAGGUUACACAGACAACUGUCAUACACAUAACCAUAAUCCAUGGGUCGGCAUUGGUGCCUUCGACCUGCUAAGCACUGGGAGGAAAUGCACCUUAAUCUAUUAUAACCAAAUAACCGCUAGGUUCGUUGAAUCGGAUAAUCUCGCACUAACUAACAAUAAAUACAACCCUAACGAACGAAUCAAAUGUUCCAAAAAUGGGCAAAAGACCAUUUUGCCCCAAAUAAGUCCCAAGCCAAUUCACAAUUGGCCUAAAGUCAACAGGUUAACAAAAGUCAACGGGAGUCAAAUGACUGAGUACACCCGACGUACUCAAUGUAUGCCCAACGUACACCACCUUUGGCUAGUACGCAUUGUGUAUAGGCUGGGUACGCCCAUCGUACUCCACAACAACCUAAUCUCGCUAUUAAGUGCUUAAAUGGUCAAGUCACUAUGUUAAUUUCUCAUAUCUGAUCCUAAAUAAUGUCUUAACAUGUAAAGUUGGCAACUUUACUCCUUUGCAUGUCUUAAUGGGACCCAAUACUUGUUUUUAUCCAUCUAUAUCCAUAAUAUGAACACCAACUCUUGCAUGGUUCAUCAAAAUCCCUUAAUAUGACAUUUUUAUGACUUAGUGACCUCAAGAAAGACCAAAUAUAAGGCUCAAAGGUUCUUGAGUAACUUCUACUCAUAAGAACCACAACCAUGGGACCAAAAUAUGACAAAUCAUAACCCAAACCAGAUCUUUAAGAGAAAUCCAUCAAGAUCAAAACUUUAUACCUCUAGAAGAUAGAUAAAUGUGAACAAAUUCUGGAUCUACAAGCUCUAUGGCAACCAACACUUCUCCAAAGAGCUCCUUCUUCUCCAAGAUGCACCAAGAAUACUUCAAAGCACCCAAAAACUCAAGGAUUUCACAAAUGGAGGCUAAGGUUUCGUAUUUAGGGUUAGAGAGGAUGGAGGCCAAAGAUAAGUAGGGUUUCCAAGAAGUUAAGGUGUUUAAAUAGAGUCCAAGACCCAAAACUAGGGUUUUGGUCUGUUUGGCAUACUCCCAGCGUACGUGGGUUGUCCAUCGCGAUCAUCUGAGCCUCGUACGCUCAACUUACUCGCUGUAUGCCCAACGUACUCGACUUAACCCAAAAUUCUUGUAACUUUAAACGGUCAUAACUUCUUCGUCCCAACUCCGAUUUCGAUGUUCUUUAUAUCCACAAAAAGGUGAUGAGAAACUCUAAACGAUAAGCAAACUUGCCCACUCGGGCAACAACAUUGAAAGGACUGAUAUAUCUGGGGCCCAACUUGCUCCGCUUCAUGAACCGGAUGACACCUUUCCAAGGUGACACCUUCCGGAGUACCAUAUCCCCAACCUGAAAUUCCAAAUUCGACCAACAUCUAUUUGCGUAACUCUUCUGUUGGCCCUGUACGUUCUGUAAUAUCUUGUGCACCUGCUGGAUCAAGUAGGGUGCGCACGCCUACCAGAAGCAUGAUGUGUUUUGCAAUUAAACAAGUUUCCUCAUUUUUUUUUCAGUUUUAAUUUUAGUGCUCACAACUAAAACCUAAUGGCUAUGAUACCACUGAUAAGUUUUCUAUGCAUCUUCACACCAGAUUUAGGCAAAAAAAGCAUUUAAAUAUAACCCUUGGUAUACAUGCAUCCUAGGAUCUAGGUUUUACUAUUAUAGCAACAUACUUUCAAAACAUGAAUAUAAACUAAUCAAAAGGGAUAAGAAUACCAACCUUUAGGACAAAAUCGUAUUUUCCCUUGAAUACUUAUAGAUCUUAAACUCAGUUGUUGCUCUUAAAAGAACUAUCAUCCAAAGUAGGAAUACCUCUAAUGGCUCGCACUCAAAAGACUAAAAUCCUAGAAUAUUUAGGAGAAAGGAGAGAAAACUAUGAGAACAAAAUUCUCACUUUAGGAAAGUUUAUGAACGAAAUUCUCAAGGUCGGGGAGGUCUUUAUAUAGUUGAGAUAAUUUGAAGAUUAAGAAAAUUUAAAUCAAUUAAAUAAUCAGAUUUAAAUCAUUUCCUUAUAUGUUAUUUCGAACAAUUCUGGAAGGCUUCUAGAGCUUCCAACACCGUCCACCUCCUUUAGGGUUUCUAGAAUGCUCAUUUUGCUCACUAUUGAUCAAUUAACAUUCAAGUUACGAUUAAUUCUAAUUAGUUCUUAAUCACUUUUAUUUAGGAGAAAGGAGAGAAAACUAUGAGAACAAAAUUCUCACUUUAGGAAAGUUUAUGAACGAAAUUCUCAAGGUCGGGGAGGUCUUUAUAUAGUUGAGAUAACUUGAAGAUUAAGAAAUUUAAAUCAAUUAAAUAAUCAGAUUUAAUUCAGAUUCAAAUCAUUUCCUUAUAUGUUAUUUCGAACAAUUCUGGAAGGCUUCUAUAGCUUCUAACACCGUCCACCCCUUUAGGGUUUAUAGAAUGCUCAUUUUGCUCACUAUUGAUCAGUUAACAUUCAGGCUAUGAUUAAUUCUAAUUUGUUCUUAAUCACUUCUAAUUAGUUUCUAAUUGAUUUAUUAACAUGUAAUAAAUUAAUAAACUAUUUUCCUCACUCUCUAAAAUUCUUUCUUGCUAUUUUAGUUAUUGAGGGCAACUCAAAAAGGACUUUAUUAUUAUUCCCAAAUUCAUAAAAUUAGAUUUCAAGUUCAUAAAAUCCUAUAAACAACUAUCAUGGUAAUCUACAAUUGUAAUCUAUAUUUGAAUAUUUCGAGUUCGUAAAAUCAUACAAAGGCAUAUGAAAAUUUCGAGAUCAUCUAAAUCCGAAAAAGAAGAUACCGGGUAGAAGUUGCUUCGAUGAACAACGAUGGAGGCAGAAGGGAUUCCAACGAUGACAACAUUGAUUUUGGUGGAUGACAAUAGCAGAGGUGUUGUCGGGGGAUAACAACAACAACAGAGGCGAUGUCGGCGGCGGAACAUGCAGAGGAAGGCGGACAAGCAAUAUGGAGAAGAAGAUGGACGUGUAUGGGAAGGAGAGCAGUUCUCCUGAUAAACAAGGAGGCCGGUAAAAGAGGCGUGACCUAAACUUUAUGAUUUCAUAUUUUUCCUUUUUUUGUUUAGUAGAGGUCUUCAAAAAAAGGUUUUCCUGCUCGAAGACAUUGAUCUAGGUCUUUUGGCGCGUAGACUUUGUGAGGUCUUCUAAAAAAACAAACACACUUCAAGACUUCGAAGACGUAGACGUCUUUCCGCUUGCAUACAAAAGUGCUAAAAAAGAGUUUUUUUUUUCCAAAAAACAAACAACACCUUAGUCUCGAUAGUCUUUAUAUUGAUAAUGUAACUUUGAAAGCGAGAAUGACUCCACUAAAUGGAGUAUGUGUGUUCCAAAAAACAAUAACAAAUUGGGUCUAAAGAGUAAUACUUAAUCCAAAAUACCAACCAUAUCAAUUUUGGUUAAUAGUAGGAUUUAUUUGGGGUCUGUUUUUUGUCCAUGUUUCUCGACGCAUACUGAAGAUGUUUAUUAUUUGUUCCUUACUAACAAGUUGGCGAAAUAAUAUUGGUCCCGUAGAGGUCAUUGGUGAGAUCUUGUGAUUUGAGUGCUUCUGUUACACACUUACACACAUAUGUAGGUGAGUUGAUUCCCUAAGUUUACCUAGUAUGAAACAAUUGAUGUUGUGAUGAAUACCAUAUGAAUACUUCAGAUUUAUUGUAAUGAUGAAACAGUUGAUGUUGGAUGAUGUUUUUGAUGACUACCAUACGAGUAUAUUGGAGUUAUCGUCAGAGUUGGCCCAAGCCCAGGGCGAGCUGGGCCAUGGCCCAGGACAACAAUUUAUAAUGGGGCAGCAAUUUUUCAAAGUCUCUUAUAGGUAUUAUGGUAUAUUUGGGCCAUGAAGACUAGUCCAGCAAAAUCCAUCCAAUUCAAGACUUAAGAGGGCAGCGGAUUCUUAGAGACCUAAUACACGGUAUCCGACUCUUCGAUCUAAACUUCUAGUAAUUAAAGAUGAAGAACACGAGGCGUCCUUUCUUGAGAAUGGAGAUGGACAUGGACGAUUACAGUUUAAAAUUAAUAUUUAGUCUAUCACCAUCGCAUUCGCAUACUGCCCUGUCUCUCUCUCUCUCUCUCUCUCUCUCUCUCUCUCUCUCUCGCCAUCGUCUACUUCUUCUUUCUUUCUUUCCUGAAUCGUUCUCUAUUCAAAGGUGGAUACAACUAUUGAUGAAUUCGUCCUCAUAAAGUCCUCACUCCUAAUCAAUCAAGUAAAGUUUUUUUCUAAUAUUUCAAAUUUCUUGCAUAACCUACU
Lactuca sativa (garden lettuce) is the source of this 5553-nucleotide non-coding RNA. The record is from RefSeq and is a predicted model, not a curated record. Lineage: Eukaryota; Viridiplantae; Streptophyta; Magnoliopsida; Asterales; Asteraceae.